RNAcentral lists this unclassified non-coding RNA (336 nucleotides) under soil metagenome. Its description in RNAcentral is "partial contains 5.8S ribosomal RNA, internal transcribed spacer 2, and large subunit ribosomal RNA". The stretch from base 1 to 120 matches the Rfam family "5.8S ribosomal RNA", at positions 35 to 154 of the family's 154-position model. The record is from RNAcentral.
GAUGAAGAACGCAGCGAAAUGCGAUACGUAAUGUGAAUUGCAGAAUUCAGUGAAUCAUCGAAUCUUUGAACGCACAUUGCGCCCCUUGGUAUUCCAUGGGGCAUGCCUGUUCGAGCGUCAUUUGUACCUUCAAGCUUUGCUUGGUGUUGGGUGUUUGUCUCGCCUCCGCGUGUAGACUCGCCUCAAAACAAUUGGCAGCCGGCGUAUUGAUUUCGGAGCGCAGUACAUCUCGCGCUUUGCACUCACAACGACGACGUCCAAAAGUACAUUUUUACACUCUUGACCUCGGAUCAGGUAGGGAUACCCGCUGAACUUAAGCAUAUCAUAAGCGGAGGA